UACAGAGGGUGCAAGCGUUAAUCGGAGUUACUGGGCGUAAAGGGCGCGUAGGCGGCUUUUUAAGUUGGAUGUGAAAUCCCUGGGCUUAACCUAGGAACUGCAUUCAAUACUGGAGAGCUAGAAUAUUGUAGAGGGUAGUGGAAUUUCCGGUGUAGCGGUGAAAUGCGUAGAGAUCGGAAGGAACACCAGUGGCGAAGGCGGCUACCUGGACAAAUAUUGACGCUGAGGCGCGAAAGCGUGGGGAGCAAACAGG
Molecule: ribosomal RNA, 253 nt
Filed under: uncultured bacterium
Lineage: Bacteria
Description: partial 16S ribosomal RNA
Rfam family: Bacterial small subunit ribosomal RNA
Source: RNAcentral